Molecule: long non-coding RNA, 1898 nt
Organism: Passer domesticus (house sparrow)
Lineage: Eukaryota; Metazoa; Chordata; Aves; Passeriformes; Passeridae
Exons: 2
Source: RefSeq, a predicted model, not a curated record
GAGAGUUUGGGUGCCGGUGUGAGGGGGGGUUUGGGUGCCGGUAACCCCGCUGAGCUCUGUACUGCCUCCAGACUGUGGUUCCUGCCGCUCAGUCUGAGGGCAGUCUAAGGUGAGCACAGUCGUCUCGCACAGAAUUAGUUCAGCCUCAGCUGUAUAAAAACAUUGGAAGCUGGUGGUCUGUUGUCGCUGAAGUGUUCUGUCUCUAUAUACCCAGAAGCUGCUAUACAGUUUGUUCUAAGGACGCUGAAUUGUCAAGAUCCAGGUUUCCCUGACAUACCUGAACAAAGAUGCUCUAUAGAGGACAUCUUUACUGUCCAACAUCUUCAACACUGGGUGAUCUUCCAGGAAGAAACAUUGAACAACCUCUGCCCUGUGGGUACAGGUACACUCAGGCAAUGUGACCCCAAAGAACUGAUUGAGGCAGACUGUUCAGCCAAAUUCCACCACGAGCUACUGCAAAGCAAUCAAAUGCAGCUAUUUCACUAUGGAGAAGUGAUUUCCAGGCUGACUCAUAACAUAACUGCUUACCUCUUUGGUUGAGCACAUAAAACAUCCCAGUUAGAAAAAUUUGAGGAAAUCACAUUAAAAAUAAGGACCUGAGAAAAAGAGUCACAAUUACCUGGCCUGUCAGUCUCUCCCAAAGCUUCUGAACCUCUGAAGCCACUUGCAGACCAGUCUGGAAGAGUGAAAGUCUUCAAGGAUCGUGACAUUCUCUGUAGGUUCAGGGGGGUAAGGGGAUGAGCAGCCGGAUGAGGGACAAAACCCCACUCCCACAAGCAGAAAGCAGAACCCCUCUGAAUCCUGCUGCUUCAGGUUAUUUGCAGGGGAUGAUACAGUUGGGAACCAAGAGCAUGGAGCACAGAAAGACAGGCUUCAUAAUUUCCACUGCUGUGGAACAAUUAAUUUUUAAUUGCUAGACCAGAAUAAUGUGACCAAAGAGCCCUUAGUUCAUGACAAUUAAGAAAAACUGCACAUCUCAGCACUUUUAAUUAACAUUGCUUCUUGAGGCAGACCAUUUCAGUCAUCUUCAGGAUAACACCACUGCUUUAAGCUAUUGUUUAAAACUACUGAACCAGAACAUUUGGGUUCAGAAGGGACAGGCAGUACAUUCUCACUGCUUCCUAACAGCUAUUGCACACUACCACCAGUUUUCAGUGUGGAUAAAGCCUCUCUGGUCAUUACCCUUCUGUGAGGCACAUAUUCCUUUUUGAUUUAGAAGUCUGGUAAGAUGGAUCUGAUUGGUUUUCAUAUACAUAAAAAGUGAACUACAAAAUGAAAGGUAUAACUCUAAAAAAACAACCUCAAAAAUAAACUGAAGUGCCACAUUCUCACAAAGGCUAAUAAAUUAAUCCUUAAUACGCAUCAAAGAUUUUAUUUGCAUUAACUGAAGAUUGAAAUAUUAAAAUAAGUCUACAUUAAAUUAUAAUAUUAAAUAUGCUUUAAAUACAAUAAACUAAAUGUGUUUAGUUUCCAAACACAAAGGGAACAAAAAUAAUUCAGAAUGCAAUACAAUUAAUAACACCAGAGGACAGAAUAAGGACUUUUAAUAUGUAGUUCCACAAACUGUCACCUCAUAGCACUGUUUACUUUAAGAAGUGGCCUUUUAAUUGAUGCACAAACCCCACAUUAGAUAAACUUAGUAAGGUAUCUCUCAAGAAAAUAUUGUUCAGGUAAAUUCUUCUUGAUGUAGUGAUCCAAACUCCUUUGGUAGCUCUUUUUCAGAAUUAAACAUACCAGUAGACAAAUCAAGAAAAUAAACAGUCUUGCAAGUAUUACCAGAAAAGGUGUCUUCCUUAUAGUUACAGUUAUCUAACAGAUCUACAGUGUCUUUCACUCUUUAAUUCAAAUCAACUUACAUAUGUACAAUAUGUAACAAAGUACUCACAAAGUCCUUAGUC